Solea solea (common sole) is the source of this 234-nucleotide long non-coding RNA. RefSeq lists it as uncharacterized. The record is from RefSeq and is a predicted model, not a curated record. The transcript has 3 exons. Lineage: Eukaryota; Metazoa; Chordata; Actinopteri; Pleuronectiformes; Soleidae.
AUACUGAUGUCCUGCUGUGUCCUUGUGAUUGCUGCUCUAAUUAUCUGCAGAAAGAGAAAGCCUGUCUGUGCACACUGCAAAGGAGACAUAACUGCGUCCAACCGCGUUCGCUAUGUCAGAUCGUCUGAGGAUCAACCAAAUUAUGGGGAUGGUGACGCAGUGGAAGUGAACUACGCAGCGCUGGAUUUCACUUCGAGAAAAGCAAAAAGAUCGAAGAAUAACAUAGAUCUCCCG